Molecule: ribosomal RNA, 443 nt
Filed under: uncultured bacterium
Lineage: Bacteria
Description: partial 16S ribosomal RNA
Rfam family: Bacterial small subunit ribosomal RNA
Source: RNAcentral
CCUACGGGAGGCAGCAGUGGGGAAUAUUGGUCAAUGGGCGCAAGCCUGACCCAGCAACGCCGCGUGAAGGAAGAAGGCUUUCGGGUUGUAAACUUCUUUUCUCAGGGACGAAGCAAGUGACGGUACCUGAGGAAUAAGCCACGGCUAACUACGUGCCAGCAGCCGCGGUAAUACGUGGGUGGCAGGCGUUAUCCGGAUUUACUGGGUGUAAAGGGCGUGUAGGCGGGACUGCAAGUCAGAUGUGAAAACCACGGGCUCAAACUGUGGCCUGCAUUUGAAACUGUAGUUCUUGAGUACUGGAGAGGCAGACGGAAUUCCUAGUGUAGCGGUGGAAUGCGUAGAUAUUAGGAGGAACAUCAGUGGCGAAGGCGACUUUCUGGACUGUAACUGACGCUGAGGCACGAAAGUGUGGGGAGCAAACAGGAUUAGAUACCCUAGUAGUC